This 468-nucleotide ribosomal RNA is filed under the name uncultured bacterium. Its description in RNAcentral is "partial 16S ribosomal RNA". It matches the Rfam family "Bacterial small subunit ribosomal RNA", at positions 28 to 507 of the family's 1533-position model. The record is from RNAcentral.
GACGAACGCUGGCGGCGUGCUUAACACAUGCAAGUCGAACGGAGAGGCCCUGCUUUUGUGGGGUGCUCGAGUGGCGAACGGGUGAGUAACACGUGAGUAACCUGCCCUUGACUUUGGGAUAACUUCAGGAAACUGGGGCUAAUACCGGAUAGGAGCUCCUGCUGCAUGGUGGGGGUUGGAAAGUUUCGGCGGUUGGGGAUGGACUCGCGGCUUAUCAGCUUGUUGGUGGGGUAGUGGCUUACCAAGGCUUUGACGGGUAGCCGGCCUGAGAGGGUGACCGGCCACAUUGGUACUGAGAUACGGCCCAGACUCCUACGGGAGGCAGCAGUGGGGAAUAUUGCACAAUGGGCGGAAGCCUGAUGCAGCAACGCCGCGUGCGGGAUGACGGCCUUCGGGUUGUAAACCGCUUUCGCCUGUGACGAAGCGUGAGUGACGGUAAUGGGUAAAGAAGCACCGGCUAACUACGUG